Myotis daubentonii (Daubenton's bat) is the source of this 2882-nucleotide RNA transcript. It is a transcript of the gene named insulin induced gene 1, with no coding region annotated. Lineage: Eukaryota; Metazoa; Chordata; Mammalia; Chiroptera; Vespertilionidae. The record is from RefSeq and is a predicted model, not a curated record.
GGCGCCGGAUCACGUGACCCGGGGCCCAGCCACCCGCCUUAUAAGCCGCGCGCGGGGCGCCGCGGGCCCAACUCCGGGCAUUCCGGGCCGGGACCUCCUGCGCUUCCUCCUCCGGGACCUCCUCCGUCGGCGAGCCCGCGGGCGGGCGCCCCUCGGCCAGGAAAGCCCGUCCCACCCGGUGACUGAUGCCCAGACUGGACGAUCACUUCUGGAGCUGUUCGUGUGCUCAGGGCGCCAGGCACCGCGGCCGCCCGGCAGCCCGCGCCGGAGGGCUGGCGGCCAAGGUGGGAGCGAUGAUCACCUCCUCGGUGGCCGGGCCCUCGCUGCGGGCGGCCCACAGCGCCCCCCACACCGACCUGGCUCGCGGGCCUCGGAGCCCGGGCGAGAGGGCCCGGGGCCAGGGCAGCGGCAGCGGCCACGCCACCAGCUGGCACUACCACCUGCUGCAGAGGAGCCUGGUGCUCUUCUCCGUCGGGGUGGUCCUCGCCCUCGUGCUCAACCUGCUGCAGGUGCAGAGGAACGUCACCCUGUUCCCCGAGGAGGUGAUCGCCACCAUCUUCUCCUCCGCCUGGUGGGUCCCUCCCUGCUGUGGGACAGCGGCUGCGGUUGUCGGUUUGCUGUACCCCUGCAUCGACAGUCAUCUUGGGGAGCCCCACAAGUUUAAGCGGGAGUGGGCCAGCGUGAUGCGCUGCGUGGCCGUGUUCGUGGGCAUCAACCAUGCCAGCGCUAAGUUGGAUUUUGCCAAUAACGUUCAGCUCUCCUUGACCUUAGCGGCCCUGUCCUUGGGCCUUUGGUGGACAUUUGACCGUUCGAGAAGCGGCCUUGGGCUUGGGAUCACCAUUGCCUUCCUUGCCACGCUGAUCACCCAGCUGCUGGUGUACAACGGUGUCUACCAGUACACCUCCCCCGACUUCCUCUACAUCCGCUCCUGGCUGCCCUGCAUCUUCUUCUCCGGAGGUGUGACGGUUGGGAACAUAGGACGACAGCUGGCCAUGUCCCCCACCUGAUGUGUCCCCGCACACACAGCUCUGAGCCCUUUGUGAGCCGGCCUCAUGGCCGGGUUGCGGUGCAAGUUCUGCUCUGAGUCCUCUGGCUGAAGUUGCUGCGGACCUUCCUCUUCCUCCUGCCCGUCUCAUGCUCUCAGAUGGCCGCUUCCUAAAGGGCGUCCCCGAAAAGCCGCACAGCGACUGAGUCUCCCGCCACUGCUUCUGGGGGACAGCAGGCGUGGCCCCGACACCCAGGCUUGGGCGGGGCAGCGACAAUCUUCCCUCGGGAUCGCGGAGACUGGCCUGACUCACCAGGACUCCCCGGGGAAACCGCCCGCUUAGGUGAGCAGGCGCCCAGAGGGACAGCUCGCCUGGAGAUGCCACCUCAGCUCCCUCAUGCCUGCCCUGCCCUGCCCUGCCCUGCAGACCCUGGACCCGGCGGAGGCAGGUGGGCCGCGGGCGCCGUUUCCGAGCGUUCCAUGCUUUUUAUCUCAUGAAAAGCAAGUUGCCAUAUGACAAAGCCUUGAACUAAAGCCCAAGUCCCAGCUCUGGGUUGUGGUCCUGCCCACAGUGGAGAGCUUGCCGGUGCUUAACAAAGGCGAGUGUGAUGAGAUAGGAACAAUAUUUAUCCACAAGAUUUAAAAAUAGGGCUGUGUGAAAAAAGAGCUGCAGGGACGCGCAGUGGUCAGGACACCAGGCCCACCACGCUCUGCGGCACACCUGGGGUCACGGUGCCCAGGGGAGCCCCCGCCCACUGAGAGCGGGGGUUGAGAGGGCAGCUCUGCAGAGGACAGUGGGUGAAGUCGGGUCUGCCCUGGGUUUCCGCCUCCAUGAGCCGGACUGCUGUUUCCUUGAUGCUCUAGCGUCGAGAGGACUUUGCACGGCCCUGUGGGAUCUGCAAUCUGUGAUUGCCUUGUGAACGACCGUCCGUCUGCGCCAGCACUGGUGUCUCCGCCUGUGCCGAGGUGCCAGCGGGCACCGUGCGCCCCCCCUGGCACAGGCCCCGUGGGCCCGGGUUGCAAGCAUCGGGUCCUUCACUUCAAGUGCAAUGUGAACGAAAACCAAUCUGAGCCUUGUAUUCUCUACAUAUUUAUUUUUUUUAACGAGUGAGAUGUUAGAGGUUCUCCAUCCAUUUCAGCCCUGCAUGGAGGCAGGUCAGCAAUAAUUCCUCCCGGGAAGUCGCUGUUGCCAUGCCCACCUGAGCCCGGCUCCUUUCAGUUCUCCAGUUCUGUGGGUUUCAGUAAAUGUAACUCCUACUUACAAAUUUAUCUUCUUUUCUAUUUUGAAAUGUACAUGUUUUUGGUUUAAAUUCUGGGAAAGCAGCUUGGUUAAAAGGCUCCUGGGAUAGAAGCCGGCGGUCAGCGGGCAGGACUGGGCACUCGGCUGCCCGGGAUCUUUGUUGUUUCAAAGAAAAUCUCUUACAGUAAGUUCCAAGUUACUGUGGCUGAUUGUUUUAGGAGAAUUUUGUUGAGGAAAACGGGAUUGUCCUCAACUUGGCAAUGAGCCCCUAAACAUUUUCUGAAGACGAAUGACUAGAAUGUGCAAAGGUUUUCCAGCAGAGACGCCAGCAUUUUGUGAAAACCGGAAGUCAUCUGAAAGCAGUCAUCGAAUCUAAAUAUAUUUGAUGAUGGGCAAACAACUAGUGUUUUUUUCUCUUCAGCUGGAAGUAAAUCUGUAUCUCUUAGCAAGAAUGUGGCCAAAAGAUGUGAAUCUGGAGACUCCCUUUGCCAAUACUUUACAGCGAGUGCACGAACCAAAGUGACCCACGUCUUAGUCACUCGUGUGACCAGUGAGCGCGGCAGAGGAGGAGCAGCAGGGAGGUCCCGUUCACACUCAGUGUCGGCAUUGUGUUCUUUUUGCAUUCGUUUUUUAUGUCUAUUAAAGGUUCAACACCAA